GACGAACGCUUGCGGCGUGCUUAACACAUGCAAGUCGAACGGAAAGGCCCUGCUUUUGUGGGGUGCUCGAGUGGCGAAUGGGUGAGUAACACGUGAGUAACCUGCCCUUGACUUUGGGAUAACUUCAGGAAACUGGGGCUAAUACCGGAUAGGAGCUCCUGCUGCAUGGUGGGGGUUGGAAAGUUUCGGCGGUUGGGGAUGGACUCGCGGCUUAUCAGCUUGUUGGUGGGGUAGUGGCUUACCAAGGCUUUGACGGGUAGCCGGCCUGAGAGGGUGACCGGCCACAUUGGGACUGAGAUACGGCCCAGACUCCUACGGGAGGCAGCAGUGGGGAAUAUUGCACAAUGGGCGGAAGCCUGAUGCAGCAACGCCGCGUGCGGGAUGACGGCCUUCGGGUUGUAAACCGCUUUCGCCUGUGACGAAGCGUGAGUGACGGUAAUGGGUAAAGAAGCACCGGCUAACUACGUGCCAGCAGCCGCGGUGAUACGUAGGGUGCGAGCGUUGUCCGGAUUUAUUGGGCGUAAAGGGCUCGUAGGUGGUUGAUCGCGUCGGAAGUGUAAUCUUGGGGCUUAACCCUGAGCGUGCUUUCGAUACGGGUUGACUUGAGGAAGGUAGGGGAGAAUGGAAUUCCUGGUGGAGCGGUGGAAUGCGCAGAUAUCAGGAGGAACACCAGUGGCGAAGGCGGUUCUCUGGGCCUUUCCUGACGCUGAGGAGCGAAAGCGUGGGGAGCGAACAGGCUUAGAUACCCUGGUAGUCCACGCUGUAAACGGUGGGUACUAGGUGUGGGGUCCAUUCCACGGGUUCCGUGCCGUAGCUAACGCUUUAAGUACCCCGCCUGGGGAGUACGGCCGCAAGGCUAAAACUCAAAGGAAUUGACGGGGCCCCGCACAAGCGGCGGAGCAUGCGGAUUAAUUCGAUGCAACGCGUAGAACCUUACCUGGGUUUGACAUGGAUCGGGAGUGCUCAGAGAUGGGUGUGCCUCUUUUGGGGUCGGUUCACAGGUGGUGCAUGGCUGUCGUCAGCUCGUGUCGUGAGAUGUUGGGUUAAGUCCCGCAACGAGCGCAACCCUUGUUCACUGUUGCCAGCACGUUAUGGUGGGGACUCAGUGGAGACCGCCGGGGUCAACUCGGAGGAAGGUGGGGAUGACGUCAAGUCAUCAUGCCCCUUAUGUCCAGGGCUUCACGCAUGCUACAAUGGCUGGUACAGAGAGUGGCGAGCCUGUGAGGGUGAGCGAAUCUCGGAAAGCCGGUCUCAGUUCGGAUUGGGGUCUGCAACUCGACCUCAUGAAGUCGGAGUCGCUAGUAAUCGCAGAUCAGCAACGCUGCGGUGAAUACGUUCCCGGGGCU
RNAcentral lists this ribosomal RNA (1346 nucleotides) under uncultured bacterium. Its description in RNAcentral is "partial 16S ribosomal RNA". It matches the Rfam family "Bacterial small subunit ribosomal RNA", at positions 28 to 1381 of the family's 1533-position model. The record is from RNAcentral.